Meriones unguiculatus (Mongolian gerbil) is the source of this 389-nucleotide long non-coding RNA. RefSeq lists it as uncharacterized. Lineage: Eukaryota; Metazoa; Chordata; Mammalia; Rodentia; Muridae. The transcript is spliced from 3 exons. The record is from RefSeq and is a predicted model, not a curated record.
AGGAGACCAGGGAGCUGUGAAGAUCUCCAGCCAAGGUCCGUGGCAAUAGAGAAGCCAACCCUUCUGCAUUCUUGGAACCAGCUUUGGGGGUUUACCAGCUGAACAGCCAGGCUGGACUCACGUGGCCUCAGACUUGCUAUAUAGCCAAGGAUUACCUUGAACUUGCUGAACCUGUUGGAAGACCAAAGCUCACUUGUGUGUUCUGCAAAAGCCCCUCUAACUCAAGUCUGUUCUUCAAGCACCCUUCAAAUGCUGGGACUGCAGAAAACCAAGGAAUGUCAGAAGCUACACCCAUAAAAUCUUACCAACAUGACUGUCUAAACAUGAGCUGAACACGAAAGGACAACUUCAUUAGACAUGAUAACGUGGAUGGUCCAUGAUGAGCGGAG